This 253-nucleotide non-coding RNA is filed under the name uncultured bacterium. RNAcentral describes it as "partial 16S ribosomal RNA". It matches the Rfam family "Bacterial small subunit ribosomal RNA", at positions 524 to 776 of the family's 1533-position model. The record is from RNAcentral. RNAcentral also lists the same sequence under 2 other names.
UACGGAGGGUGCAAGCGUUAUCCGGAUUCACUGGGUUUAAAGGGUGCGUAGGUGGGUUGGUAAGUCAGUGGUGAAAUCCCCGAGCUUAACUUGGGAACUGCCAUUGAUACUAUCAGUCUUGAAUACCGUGGAGGUCAGCGGAAUAUGUCAUGUAGCGGUGAAAUGCUUAGAUAUGACAUAGAACACCAAUUGCGAAGGCAGCUGGCUACUCGGAUAUUGACACUGAGGCACGAAAGCGUGGGGAUCAAACAGG